Molecule: long non-coding RNA, 975 nt
Filed under: Salvator merianae (Argentine black and white tegu)
Lineage: Eukaryota; Metazoa; Chordata; Lepidosauria; Squamata; Teiidae
Description: lncRNA (ENSSMRG00000003323.1)
Source: RNAcentral
GAAAAGGAAGGCAGCCACUUUGGCCUGAAGAACUAUAUACAUUUUGAAAAAAUGGAUUUGCUGCCUACAGGAACAGAAAGUAGAAUAGUCAUGGCUUCAGAGGAAGAAAGUAAAAACAAAGUUCUUGCGACAGUGGCUACGGCUAACACUUCUGCCGCUUCUAACAGAGAGGAUGUCCAGAAGGUUCAAGAAAACCAAAUGAUUGAAACCUUAACUUCUCACAUCAAAGAGAUUCUUCUGUACUUUUUACCUGAAUGUAAUAUAUCAAGAGAACAACUUGCAUCCAUCUCUCCUGAAGGUAUUUUAUCCAUGUUCAAGCUGAAAGACCUUUCUGAUCAGAAUAAGGCUGUCCCUCUGUACAUGGACCAGUAUUUUUCACAGUACGAAGUACAAGUUAAAGAAAAAAUCCAGUCUGUAAAGCGAUAUGGUCUUCACACUGUAUGCACCAUUGAAACAGAGGCCGGCCUUUGUGAAGGACGAUUAAAGCUGGCACAAGAAAAACUUGAGUGCCUUCGGGGGAAAAUAGCAAAAGUGCUCUUGAAAGUCCAUCCGCAUCUUUCUAUCACUAGCCUGGAAGACGUUGAUAGCAUCCUAGAAGAGACUUUGAAAGAAGACAACCUGAAGUGUGUCCUGUAAACACCAUCAGUACAAAAUCAUGUGUGCCUGUCUUACCAGAUGACAAAAUGUGGAAGACCUUUGUAUUCAGUAGUAAUUAAUCACAAUUGGCAAAGCCCUACCUCCAUUCUCUUUCAGAAAUGCAUAUGCUAUGCUGUAGCUUGUGGAAGAGUGGCUGUAAAUGGAACANCCCCAAAAAUGUUUUUAUUUAUUUUAUUUUAAUAAUACUAGAUCUAGGCUGCUGCUGUGAAGCAUCGCUUUAUUUUCGUGUUCUACACAAAUUCCACUGAACUGCACAGUCACAGUAUCUCUGAAGUGCUUGUUCAAACUUUUAUUUUCCUUCAUAAAUAAAGUUAUGGU